Molecule: transfer RNA, 69 nt
Filed under: Ictidomys tridecemlineatus (thirteen-lined ground squirrel)
Lineage: Eukaryota; Metazoa; Chordata; Mammalia; Rodentia; Sciuridae
Also listed under: 1 other name
Description: Spermophilus tridecemlineatus (thirteen-lined ground squirrel) tRNA
Rfam family: tRNA
About the family: Transfer RNA (tRNA) molecules are approximately 80 nucleotides in length. Their secondary structure includes four short double-helical elements and three loops (D, anti-codon, and T loops).
Source: Rfam by way of RNAcentral
GGGAUUGUGGCUCAGCGGUAGAGCACUUGCCUAGCAAGCAUGAGGUACUGGGUUCAAUCCUCAGUACCA